CCUACGGGGGGCAGCAGUGGGGAAUCUUGCACAAUGGGGGAAACCCUGAUGCAGCGACGCCGCGUGAGUGAUGAAGCCCUUCGGGGUGUAAAGCUCUUUCGACCCUGAAGCGGUAGGGGGAGAAGAAGCUGCGGCUAACUACGUGCCAGCAGCCGCGGUAAUACGUAGGCAGCGAGCGUUGUUCGGAGUUACUGGGCGUAAAGGGUGCGCAGGCGGUGGAGCAAGUCUGAUGUGAAAUCUCCCGGCUUAACCGGGAGGGUGCGUUAGAAACUGUUCUGCUGGAGUGAGGGAGAGGCAAGCGGAAUUCCUGGUGUAGCGGUGAAAUGCGUAGAUAUCAGGAGGAACACCCGUGGUGCAGACGGCUUGCUGGCCCCACUGACGCUGAGGCACGAAAGCGUGGGGAGCAAACAGGAUUAGAUACCCUUGUAGUC
Molecule: ribosomal RNA, 431 nt
Filed under: uncultured bacterium
Lineage: Bacteria
Description: partial 16S ribosomal RNA
Rfam family: Bacterial small subunit ribosomal RNA
Source: RNAcentral